GGCAAUAGGUGGAGAGGCC
RNAcentral lists this non-coding RNA (19 nucleotides) under Arabidopsis thaliana (thale cress). Lineage: Eukaryota; Viridiplantae; Streptophyta; Magnoliopsida; Brassicales; Brassicaceae. The record is from RNAcentral.